Molecule: long non-coding RNA, 823 nt
Filed under: Musa acuminata (dwarf banana)
Lineage: Eukaryota; Viridiplantae; Streptophyta; Magnoliopsida; Zingiberales; Musaceae
Description: long non-coding RNA (MACU_LNC005183)
Source: RNAcentral
AGAUAGAAAACCUUAAAGGAAAAGAUUUUAUUUGUUUUAUUUUUGUAAUUAAUCAUUUGUAAUUAUUAUUAUAAAAGAACGGAAUGGAAGCUUCUCAAUCUCCUCCUAGUAGCAUUCUCUCUCUUUAAUUUUGGGCUCCUCGAUCCUCGGCGAUGAUUCGACAUAAUCCAGGAAGAAGAAAGAGGGGUGCGAGGGUCUCCAUAAAUAGAAAAACUCUAACCCCAUUUUUCCAAUAUCACCCUUACCAAUCUCCGAACUCAUUAUAGGACCAUAGAGGUAAUAUUUUAUUUUAAAUUUAAUUAUUUAUUAAAUCUACUUGUUAAUCUAAUACGAAUUAUUAAUCUAAUUAAUUAUACCAUGUGAAACCCUAAAAUAUUAUUAAUUAUUAAUCUAAUUAAUUAAUUAGAUUAAUAAGAAUUAUUAAUCUAAUUAAUUAUUAUUCUAAUUUAAUUAUACCUAGUGAAACCCUAAAAUUUCCUAGCAUUACAUUUAUUGAUCCACUUUGUUCCUUUUUACCUUGCAUCCUUCUUGUCUUGAUAGGUAGAGACACCGGUUCAAAAGAUCAGCGGCUUCAUUUUGGAUGACUAUAUUUCUUGAACAAUCUCAUUGAAAUAUAGUUGUACAAGCUCAUUCAGUUAAGCACUCUUGUAAUUUUCACUUUACUUUCUUAGGCAUGAUUUGUUUGAGCAGCACCAAAGAUGUAGAAUUGUAGAUUAAUCUUGUUGUAACUAACAUUAGUGGCAAUAAUCAAUAAAGGUUUUGUGGUCGUUAGUCUAUUCUUCUUGUUUAUCAUGUUUUCCUUUUUUACUCUAAUGUAGCAUAA